This 111-nucleotide transfer RNA is filed under the name Aspergillus melleus. RNAcentral's name for it is "tRNA-Leu". It matches the Rfam family "tRNA". Rfam says of the family: Transfer RNA (tRNA) molecules are approximately 80 nucleotides in length. The record is from RNAcentral. Lineage: Eukaryota; Fungi; Ascomycota; Eurotiomycetes; Eurotiales; Aspergillaceae.
GGCAAGAUGGCCGAGCGGUCUAAGGCGCUAGGGUCAGGUAUCUGACCUCCCAUAUUCAUACGAAUAUUCCUAGUCUCGAAAGGGGCGUGGGUUCGAAUCCCACUCUUGUCA